This is a long non-coding RNA of Pecten maximus, 1504 nucleotides long. RefSeq lists it as uncharacterized. The transcript has 2 exons. NCBI's taxonomy places the organism in Eukaryota, Metazoa, Mollusca, Bivalvia, Pectinida, Pectinidae. The record is from RefSeq and is a predicted model, not a curated record.
UUACAACUGAAAGACUUUAAUUCUUCACUAUUUCAUGGUAUGAAAUAUAACAAGGAAAUCUAAUAACAACCAAAUAUGGCAUGCAACACUAAAAACAUCCUGCAACUAAAAUAACAAAAAAGUAUAAUGCUUUGUAGAUUUUACAUUCCACCUAAUCUCGAGUUUCUACUGUACUGCAGGUUACUAGCUCUGUUACAGUCAAUAUAUACUUAGCCUUCUGCUUCAUCGGUUAAUGAGUAUAUGUAAAAGUUUUAAUCAGGUUGCUAAUAUAUAGAUAUUUAAGUAUCUUAAGUUUAUAUAAAUUGUAACAAACUAGUAAAACGUUUGUCACAGUAAGGUCAACAAACGGUUCUGUGGCCUGUUAAGUCAAGCUCUAUAACUAUGACAUGAUGUCAAUAAAAUCCUGAGCUGAUGAUGUAAUGUGAAAUUUGUUGAUACCAGUAGGUUAUUUUUAAUCCAUACAGAGAGAACAUAGUUGUUCGGAGUUAAACCAAAUGAGGAAUUACACAGGAUUACAUAAUCUAAAUAAAAUUGUAUUGCUUAAAAAUUAUUGAGAUGUGUAAAAAAUAGAAAAGGAAACAACUCAAAAAUGUAAUUCGUGGUGAUGCCCAUGCAGAUAAAAACUGACAUAAAUUAAUUGACGAGAGCGCUAGCUCAACAAGAUACAAAGUAGCUAUGCCAUGCUAUAUAUACAUCCAUGAUCAAUUGAGUCGAUAAUAUACCAACUGGCAAUCAGAAUCUUCGGAAAUAUCUAUUCUUCAAACCUAUGAACUAUAAUUGAAUGGUGAUUCACCAUAAUUAUAAAAAGACUAACAUCAAAGCCUUGAUCAGACUAGUAUGGUCACAGCUCCCUAUACACACUACACACAGAUUUCUGACUGAUUAAAGGGCAGAUAAUGGGUUCUAUUCACAAUCAAUGUUAUUUCACAAACCAUCUCACCAAAAUUGGUAGAUUUCCUUUUCGAUCCACCUAUUUCAUUCCAAAAAUAGACAAGAAGGCUUCAUCCCAAAUGAUUGUAUAAUCCCUGCUGUAAAUUAUCCACAUACCAGUUCCUACAUUCAGUUCCCUACAUGGCCUCAUCUCAAAUAAUUGUAAAACCUUUGGAUUGGUUUAUUUUGUGUAAUGUCCUAUCAACAGCCAGGGUCAAUUAAGGAUGUGCCAGGCUUUGGAGGUGGAGGAAAACCGGAGUACCCGGAGAAAUGCCACCGGCCUAUGGCCAGUAUUUAUAUCAGGCAACUGCUGCCCCACGUAGGUUUUGAACUCGCAACACAGAGGUGGAGGGCUAGUGAUAAAGUGUCAGGACACCUUAACCACUCGUUAAUUGUAAAACCCUGGUGGAAUUUGUCCACAUACCAGUUCCUACAUCCAUUGCUGUAUAUGGCCUCACCUCAAAUAAAUUAUAAAAAACCCUGCCAUAAAUUGUCCACAAACCUACAUUCAUUGUCUUACAUAUAGAUGCUUUUACAGUAAUGUUUACUGAUGAUAAUUCAUGACUAAUUAAUU